GCCUGGAAAGGACGGUAAAAAUGCCCAUGGAUAUGUGGCAUGCUGCCAGCCAGCCUGACAUUCACUGCAGGGUUUUCCAGACUGGUAGAGGCUUGCAGUGAGAAGAGGAUGUGGAUGUCCCCUGGAGGUGCUGAUUCAGCAGAGAAAAAGAAAACACCCCCCAUUUUGCUGAGCCCCAGCAGGGUGAACAGAGGGAAAAGGUGCUCCAGGGCAGGAAGAAACUGUGAAGAAAUAGGUUUGGACAAGAGUUGAAGGAUUGUAUGCCCAAUUGAACCUACUACUGAAAGCAACAAGCUGGAUGAGCUCUCUCCCUCGCCUUGGUAUAUAGGAUAGGUGAGCAACACCUACACAAGCACCACACCGCUUCCUCUAGCAGGCCGGGAGCUGUGCUGGAGCUCGCCCAUCUGACCCAGUCCUCCACAUGAGAUCUGGCAAGAUAAUCGCUCCAAGUGUCUGGAAAGAACAUCUUGCUUUCUCUACUGCUCCUGAAGGAAUCAAGGACAAAUGAUGGAGACAGAGUUGCUCACCACCAUCUUGACUGGAGAAGACACAGGAAGCUCUUUGCACCACCACCUCUGAACCUACGUGCUCUGCCCUGUCCAUUGUGCCUCCCGCUCCCAGCCUGGGCAUGGGCUUCUGUUAUACAGCGUGCCACAUUUAUUUCCUGCAUUAAAUCAGAGCCCCCUGGGAUCUGGUUCCCAAGCUGCCGUUUCACGAUGAGGACAUUCACCACCAGGCCCACCAUGGGGUGCGUCCCCCACGGGAAUAGAGAAGUGCUGAAGCUGAAAGUGGGUCCAGCCCCGGGUAAGCCAGGACAGCCCUGAUUCAGCAGAGCCCACCCGUGCUCAUCUCCAAGCACACCAAGAGCCCCGCCACCCUCGCUGGGAAGAGCCGCGUCCCUACGGCGUGCGCUAAGUGCUUUGCUGAACGGGGUCCAAGGUCCGGCCUGGAGCCACCCUGCUCCCGCCGACUCCCUCUUUGGCGCCGCACCGUGGAGUUGGCCCUCCUCUUGUGCUGGAGGACGUUACGAAAUCCUGGCCCUGACACAGAGCAGAUGCAUUAUUGGGAAGCCCUCGGGUCAUGAGAGGGCUAAUAGUCACAUUCCUGGCUGGGAUGGCGAAAGAUUUACGCUGGGCGCUCGCUCGCCUCGCCCUGCACCAGGCCGGCUCCCUACUUCACCAGCCCCCUCGGCUUUAA
Molecule: long non-coding RNA, 1197 nt
Organism: Oxyura jamaicensis (ruddy duck)
Lineage: Eukaryota; Metazoa; Chordata; Aves; Anseriformes; Anatidae
Exons: 6
Source: RefSeq, a predicted model, not a curated record